RNAcentral lists this ribosomal RNA (1503 nucleotides) under Triticum aestivum (bread wheat). Its description in RNAcentral is "partial small subunit ribosomal RNA". The record is from RNAcentral. Lineage: Eukaryota; Viridiplantae; Streptophyta; Magnoliopsida; Poales; Poaceae.
AUGGUGGAUGUUGGCUCGGAAAAUGGUCUUCGGAAGGUGAUAUGUAUCGUUGGCAUGGGUGGUUUAGGCAAGACUACUCUUGCUAGGAAGGCAUAUGAAAGUAAGGAAGACACCAUUAAUAAUUUUUCUUGUUGUGCUUGGGUCACAGUCUCACAGACGUUUUACAAGAUAGAGAUCCUCAAGGACAUGAUUAGGCAGCUAUUGGGUGGUGAUUCGUUGAAGACUUUCUUGAAGGAACUUGAAGGGAAGGAGGUGCAAGUAGACAAUCUCGCUAGCUACCUGAGAGAAAAGCUAGUGGAUAUGAGGUACUUCAUUGUUCUUGAUGACCUGUGGACCAUAGAUGCUUGGAAGUGGAUCAAAGAUAUUGUUAUUCCCAGUAGAAACAAUAAAGGUAGUCGUAUAAUAGUAACAACGCGAGAUGAUGGCUUGGCUAAGCAGUGCACCUCUGAAUCGCCUGUCUAUCACCUUAAGUACUUACAAACAGGUGAUGCUACAAAUUUGCUACUAAUAAAGAGUAGGAAAUCACAUCAGGACAUGGAAAAUGAUAAGGAAAUGAAGACCAUGGUCAACAAAAUAGUGAAUAAGUGUGGUGGUCUACCGCUGGCUUUACUCACUAUAGGAGGCAUGCUUGCCACCAAAAAGGUAAGAGAGUGGGAGAGUAUCUAUAAACAAAUCCCGUUAGAGCUUGAGGUCAACUCUAACCUUGAAGCUAUGAGGAGGAUAGUUACUCUAAGCUACAACCACUUGCCAUCUCAUCUCAAGUCAUGCUUUUUGUAUCUAAGCAUCUUUCCUGAGGAUUCUGAAAUCAAAAGGAGGCGUUUGGUGGAGAGAUGGAUAGCCGAGGGGUUUGUUAGAGCAAGGGCUGGGGUGAACAUUGAGGAUGUGGGAGAUGGUUACUUUAAUGAGCUAAUCAACCGUAGCAUGAUUCAACCUUCCAGUGUGAACGUAGAAGGAAUAGUUAAGAGUUGUCGAGUCCUUGAUAUUGUGCGUGAUGUCAUGGUCUCAAUUUCCAGAGAUGAAAAUUUUGUGUAUGUGCCAGAAGAUAAUGUAACUAGUGUCGCACAAGAGACAUUUCGUCAUGUAGCAUACCAUGGUAGUAAGUUCCAAAAUAAUGGCAUGGAUUGGGGCCAUGUCCGGUCAUUAACCAUAUUUAGCGAGAGACCAUUGGAAUCUCCACUUUGUUCACCUAAGGCAAGAAUGCUCAGAGCCUUGGAUCUAGAGAAUUCACAGUUUGAAGUCACACAAAAAGACAUCAGUAACAUUGGAUUGCUAUGCCACCUUAAGUAUGUGAAUUUAUCUAAUCCUCAAGGAUGUUCAUAUAUUUAUAAAAUUCCUAGAUCCAUAGGAAAAUUACAAGGCUUGUGUACUUUGAACAUAAGAAACAGUUAUAUUACCGAAACGCCAACUAAGAUAAGUAAACUCAAGAGUCUACACAGUCUCCGUUGUACCAGAAAUAUUUCCUGCGAACGCUUUGACUUGGAAGGCCUCAGGAAUGCUUGCUGA